Pelobates cultripes (western spadefoot toad) is the source of this 364-nucleotide non-coding RNA. The record is from the annotation of a GenBank genome assembly. Lineage: Eukaryota; Metazoa; Chordata; Amphibia; Anura; Pelobatidae.
UUUCAGAACGAUUUUAGAUCUAAAGGCAGUCAACAAAUGAUAAAAAAAUGUUUCCUAUGGAGAUGAUAAAUUCAGCCAGUCACAUUAUUCAACCAGGAAAUUUGCUUAUUUCUCUGGACUUGAAGGAUGCAUACUUGCACAUUCCCAUCACAGAAACAAGCAAGAGAUUCUUAAGAUUCGCCAUCAAGUUCCAACAGCAAUGUUUUCAUUAUCAGUUCAGAGUACUUCCGUUUGACCUUUAGUCAGCCCCAAGAGUUUUCACAAAAACACUGGUAGUUAUUGCCACGGAUUUAAGAAGUCAUCUAUGUGAUCCUGUAUUUGGACAACUGGCUUUUAACAGUCUAUUCAAAAGAACUUUGUCAAG